Molecule: ribosomal RNA, 253 nt
Filed under: uncultured bacterium
Lineage: Bacteria
Description: partial 16S ribosomal RNA
Rfam family: Bacterial small subunit ribosomal RNA
Source: RNAcentral
UACGUAGGGUGCGAGCGUUACUCGGAAUUACUGGGCGUAAAGCGUGCGCAGGCGGUUAUGUAAGACAGGUGUGAAAUCCCCGGGCUUAACCUGGGAACUGCAUUUGUGACUGCAUAGCUAGAGUACGGUAGAGGGGGAUGGAAUUCCGCGUGUAGCAGUGAAAUGCGUAGAUAUGCGGAGGAACACCGAUGGCGAAGGCAAUCCCCUGGACCUGUACUGACGCUCAUGCACGAAAGCGUGGGGAGCAAACAGG